UCGGAAUGACUGGGCGUAAAGCGCACGCAGGCGGUCAAUUAAGUUAGAUGUGAAAUCCCCGGGCUCAACCUGGGAACGGCAUCUAAGACUGGUUGACUGGAGUCUCGUAGAGGGGGGUAGAAUUCCAUGUGUAGCGGUGAAAUGCGUAGAGAUGUGGAGGAAUACCGGUGGCGAAGGCGGCCCCCUGGACGAAGACUGACGCUCAGGUGCGAAAGCGUGGGGAGCAAACAGGAUUAGAUACCCUGGUAGUCCACGCUGUAAACGAUGUCGAUUUGGAGGUUGUGGCCCUGAGCUGUGGCUUCCGAAGCUAACGCGUUAAAUCGACCGCCUGGGGAGUACGGCCGCAAGGUUAAAACUCAAAUGAAUUGACGGGGGCCCGCACAAGCGGUGGAGCAUGUGGUUUAAUUCGAUGCAACGCGAAGAACCUUACCUACUCUUGACAUCCUCAGAAUUUGCUGGAGACAGCGAAGUGCCUUCGGGAACUGAGAGACAGGUGCUGCAUGGCUGUCGUCAGCUCGUGUUGUGAAAUGUUGGGUUAAGUCCCGCAACGAGCGCAACCCUUAUCCUUUGUUGCCAGCACGUCGAGGUGGGAACUCAAAGGAGACUGCCGGUGAUAAACCGGAGGAAGGUGGGGAUGACGUCAAGUCAUCAUGGCCCUUACGAGUAGGGCUACACACGUGCUACAAUGGCGGAUACAAAGUGAAGCGACCUCGCGAGAGCAAGCGGAACACACAAAGUCUGUCGUAGUCCGGAUUGGAGUCUGCAACUCGACUCCAUGAAGUCGGAAUCGCUAGUAAUCGUAGAUCAGCAUGCUACGGUGAAUACGUUCCCGGGCCUUGUACACACCGCCCGUCACACCAUGGGAGUGGGUUGCAAAAGAAGUCGGUAGCUUAACCUUUUUGGAGGGCGCUGACCACUUUGUGGCUCAUGACUGGGGUGAAGUCGUAACAAGGUAAC
RNAcentral lists this ribosomal RNA (957 nucleotides) under Photorhabdus luminescens. Its description in RNAcentral is "bacterial SSU rRNA". It matches the Rfam family "Bacterial small subunit ribosomal RNA", at positions 545 to 1500 of the family's 1533-position model. Lineage: Bacteria; Pseudomonadati; Pseudomonadota; Gammaproteobacteria; Enterobacterales; Morganellaceae. The record is from RNAcentral.